CCUCUUUCUUGGAAUGCAAAGAGGAGUGUGAGCACCACUUCUGUGGCAGAGCUGACAUGACUGUGAACUUAGAUGUUUGAUGUGUGUUGGCUCUGCUGCACGCAGUAAUAAAUAGCUUGAUCACAGCAGAUUUUAUUUACAAAAUUCCACAACGCCCCCCCACCCUCCCACUGUGAACCUGAAUUGAAUAUUCAGAAGAAAAUGAAUGGAUAGACUGACAUUUGUUUAAAUACUUCUAGAAAUCUGAGCUGUUGGUGUGUCCUUGGAUUGUGUGAACAGUUCGCCACAGUCGCUGUCCACAUGGGUCAGUGGGACCAAGCAGCACUCUGCUAAUGUGUGGACUCUGACCAGCAACAUCCAGCAAGACCCAGGCAGCGUUUUCUAUCUCCCAGCUGGAGUUUUUUGUUUGUCUGUGACUGGAGAGUCAGAUUUUUGUUGAAGCUGGAGGAACAGAGAGGUUAAUACAUGCUACUGAUCCCUGAUGGGAGAAUCAUCACCUCUGCCAACAAAGAAGCCUGGUGGAUGUUUGUUUGCAGUCUGAUGAUGGGACAUCAUGCUCUGCAUCUUCAAAGUUUGUCUCUUGAUUAUUAUUCAUACACAGUAAUGUGAAUUAUGCUUAUAUCUAGUAUAACUGGACCAACCUGGUGCUCUUCAUUUAUGGAGGCUGUUGAGUCUGAAUGUUGGAUGUUGUGUAUCUCGUGUUCUCUGGGCUUUGUUGUCCUCAGUCUUUUUGCAGGAUCAGAAAACAAAACCAGGAUGACCAUAAAUGUUUCUUCUCCAAUUGGAUGAUGAUAAGACUGUGACACGGGAUGCCACCUUUAGUCUUGUGAUGAAGCAAAGCUCAGGAAGAAGUGUAAUUAAAUGGUACCCACACGUGUGCUGCUGAGAAGGAUGUACAGGGGCACCUGCAGCCAAAUCCAAGCCUCCUCAGCAACUUCAGGUCUGUCAGCGUGCUGAGGUCACAGAAACAAGAAAAGCAGCUUCAGACUUUAGAGUGUUGUUUACAGUUUUCUGACAUCAUGAUCUCCCCUGAAGUUUAUCACUAUUAGGCAAGCAAGCAGAGCAGCAGUUUGUGCUCACAGAUGGUGACGGUGUGGAGAGACGGUGGUGUUUCCUCAGAAGAACUAGCAGAGUCACAAAGGACACGAGUCCUUCUCACCACCUUGACUUGUUGAUCAGUGGAUACACUUGUCUCCCCUUUAAAGGAGACACUCUUAGAGAGAGACGAUCUGAGUCAUCCUUAAAUAUGGACAGGAUAUCACUAUUGGACUGUCUAACCUGCCGGAGCAGCACUGAAUGACCACCACACAUGAUCAGUUCCUGCAACAUUCAGCAGCUCUGCUUUUGCUGGAGAGGAAACUACACCAGUGUACUGGGAUGUUUCACCAACACGUGCCAGACGCUGUUCCUUCAUGGUGACAUCACCAGAGACGGCCCCGCCCACCUCAGGACCUCGCCAUUGAUCAUGAUGAUUAUAAUGAUGACAGCGAGCGGAACUAAGACUGUAAAAAUCAGAAUGUUUAGAUGCUUUCUAAUUAUUAAUGAAUACUGAGAGCCUCUUUCUGUGUUUUGUCUGUUUUGUUUUUUUUUUACCUCAUUUGUUACUAACAAAGUUCACCAAACUCACACAGUUUACAUUCUGUAUGUUUCCAUAUUUACCAGCCACACUCUACCCGCAAUUAAGAAAAUAAUCCUUAGAAAUUGUCGUUUUUCUCUUUUGUAAUUUUGUAAUUCAGUGAAUAUACGGCGCUGCUUCCUUUAAUUGCGUCUCACAUUGCUUUAAGUUUUUCCAGUGUCCAGUUAUUUUUUACUGUUGUUUGAAUUCUCUGUAUGUUUGACCCUGUAGACUGUUUGAUGGACUGCUUGUCUUCCUGUUUGUAACCGCCGCCUGUUUUUGACUAAAGAUUUGGAUUUCUGACUUUAACACAGCCUCUGCGUGUCCUCCCUUUGUGUCCUCUUCCUCUGUGAAUGUGUUGCAUGUGUCACAGAUUCAUUUUAUUAACAGCUUUCCCACAGUCAGUUGCAUCAGCAUUCAUUCACAGCACAUUGCAGAAGGAUUCAGAUUAAUACAGUG
Long non-coding RNA from Oreochromis aureus, 2074 nucleotides. RefSeq lists it as uncharacterized. The record is from RefSeq and is a predicted model, not a curated record. The transcript is spliced from 7 exons. Lineage: Eukaryota; Metazoa; Chordata; Actinopteri; Cichliformes; Cichlidae.